RNAcentral lists this ribosomal RNA (433 nucleotides) under uncultured bacterium. Its description in RNAcentral is "partial 16S ribosomal RNA". It matches the Rfam family "Bacterial small subunit ribosomal RNA", at positions 29 to 507 of the family's 1533-position model. The record is from RNAcentral.
AACGAACGCUGGCGGCAUGCCUAACACAUGCAAGUCGAACGAGACCUUCGGGUCUAGUGGCGCACGGGUGCGUAACGCGUGGGAACCUGCCCUUAGGUUCGGAAUAACUCCCCGAAAGGGGUGCUAAUACCGGAUAAUGUCUUCGGACCAAAGAUUUAUCGCCUUUGGAUGGGCCCGCGUUGGAUUAGCUAGUUGGUAGGGUAAAAGCCUACCAAGGCGACGAUCCAUAGCUGGUCUGAGAGGAUGAUCAGCCACACUGGGACUGAGACACGGCCCAGACCUCUAAGGGAGGGAGGAGGGGGGAAUAUUGGACAAUGGGCGAAAGCCUGAUCCAGCAAUGCCGCGUGAGUGAUGAAGGCCUUAGGGUUGUAAAGCUCUUUUACCCGGGAUGAUAAUGACAGUACCGGGAGAAUAAGCUCCGGCUAACUCCGUG